RNAcentral lists this transfer RNA (84 nucleotides) under Promethearchaeota archaeon. RNAcentral describes it as "Candidatus Lokiarchaeota archaeon tRNA-Ser". It matches the Rfam family "tRNA". Rfam says of the family: Transfer RNA (tRNA) molecules are approximately 80 nucleotides in length. The record is from RNAcentral. Lineage: Archaea; Promethearchaeati; Promethearchaeota.
GCAAGUAUAGCCAAGCGGUCGACGGCGCCGGACUUGAGAUCCGGUGGGCUUAUGCCUUCGUGGGUUCGAAUCCCCCUACUUGCG